Long non-coding RNA from Pygocentrus nattereri (red-bellied piranha), 1358 nucleotides. RefSeq lists it as uncharacterized. The transcript is spliced from 2 exons. The record is from RefSeq and is a predicted model, not a curated record. NCBI's taxonomy places the organism in Eukaryota, Metazoa, Chordata, Actinopteri, Characiformes, Serrasalmidae.
CGCUGGGCCCGGUGCGAGCCUUCGACCCAUUGUCCUGCAGCACGUGCCCCGUCCUCAGAGAAUAGCCCCCCUCUCCCCAACCGCGCCAAUCCCAGGACAGAGCAACACUCGCAACAAAAAGGUCUGGUCAGUCUGUGAUGGUGACCCGUAAAGUCAUUUUGCACAUCUGUUGCAGCCGACAGAAGUAGCUGGAUUGACUUUAUUCUGUCCCCCUCAUGCGUUUUGACAACACCCUGUCAUUCAGACCACCAGAAGUAACCCCCCUGAACUGGAUGAUGGGUCUACAGCAGGCAAACUGUGGGCUUCAGUUUCUAGGUGACAGUGUCAUGGUGCCGGCUACCAAUAGAAUUGGCUCUCCUCACCUCCACACUGAUACUGUCCAGAUGUCACUGCAGACCUCAUCAUAGCUGGCACUUGUUGAGACUCGUGCCUUAGAAGUAAAUCUGUCAGCGCACUGUUAAAGUCACCUGGGUUAAGUGAACACCACGAUUACAGCAAAGACUUGUGCAAGAUCAAUUAACCACUAGUCGUAGCACUCAUCCACACAUAGCAAUGGCAUGACGGCAGAAUGUCUCAAUAACAUUUAAAAAAAUUAAAAAUGCCAUAAAAGGCGGAUUCAUAUAUGUGGGCAGUCUUGCAGGGCCAAACCUGAUCUCAUAACAAAAACACACGUCUGGGGAAAUCUUAAACUUUCAGUGCUAGAUUGUGGUGAAAUAUGUCACAAAGCAGUGCUGUACCCCUUAGUCCCAUCCCUAAUUUCCUUUAGUCUGUGCUCUUUUAACAUCUGAAGUACAAUCAAUAAUACAAGCAAACAAGCUACCUAGUACAACACUGUCUAGUGCUACUGAUCAUUUUUACGCCAUAUAAUGUGGUCACCGCACACACGACGCAUAUUAUCUCCAUCCUUAAUUGGAGUUUUUUGAGGUAACUUUUCAGCCAAGCUACCAUACGUUCCAUCCAUGUGCUAAUGACAGGCUUAUUGUCUGUUAGACACCAGUGAUGAGUGCACACCCCACCCAAUUUGAACUCCACCUUCACAAGGCAUUGGAUUGGUUUUAGAAAUAUCUACUCAGUUUGUUCUCAGCAUAAUACAUCUACAACCCCACCCAUAUAUAGCCCAAAAUGUCUCAUGGUUGCCCCCAGACAACCCCUGUGAAGUGCUGCCAGUUGCAGAAUGUGACAGUGCUACACCCAGUAGUGGCACCGGGACAGCUGUAUAGGGUGGGAGCCACAAAUUUGAGGGUGGGCUAAACCUCGCUCUUGGAGACCUUCACUUCAUCUCUCUCACACACAGAUUCAGUCUCUUUUGCACAUGGAUUCUCGACCUCUUUCACAUAUUAAAUGUUCAUUCACCUUCA